This is a long non-coding RNA of Oreochromis aureus, 1003 nucleotides long. The record is from Ensembl. NCBI's taxonomy places the organism in Eukaryota, Metazoa, Chordata, Actinopteri, Cichliformes, Cichlidae.
CAGGUGUGUAGGCUGAAACCAGGGGGCUCAAUCAGCAGGUGGAAUCUAAGGCAGGACUUGCUCAUCCUCAACGAAGGCCAAAACAUUAGUGAAGAAAACAGAGGAAUCCUAACCAUCCCAGGACAAUCCCAGGAACCAGUUUGAGGUCAUCUGAACUUUGUAACAUGUAAUCAUCAUAUGACCAACUCUGAAAACUGAAAACAUCUUAAAGAUCUAACCUUCUCAUGUCCCCAUUUUAUUGUUUUUUCCAUUAAUUUCCAGGACGUCUAGGAAACGUCUGGCUGCAGCUGGAGUCACAACACGGAGCAGCCCGUGGCCUCUCUGGUCUGCAGGAUCCUGAUCAGGGCCGUGACUGUUUUCAGACCUGCUGAGACCUUAUCCACAGGCUGUUUUCUCUGAACCCUAGAGUUGGUAGUGUGGGGAAAAUCCCAGCAGAUCAGCACUUUCUGAAAUAUUUUGACCAGCCCAUCUGGCCCCAGCCUGUUGACCUGCCGAGCCUGAAAAACACUGGUUAAAACCCUGUUUGAUCUCAAGAACUGAAGAGGAGAUAAUUAUAAUGGAUCAUUAGCAACACAGAUCAAGAAAAGCAGGGUACACCCUUAACAUGUUGCCAUUCUGUCUCAAGGGUUAAAGGUAAAAUAGAGAAUUACAAGUUAAUCCUGUUGAAAGCCUGACAUAACAAACAUGAAAAGCUUUAAAAAUGGCACGAAAGACUGCAGCUGGGUUAGUCCUGACUUUGUGUGGUGUGUGGGUCGAGAAUAAAGUUGUCAUAGUGCUAGCUACCAAUUCACACUACCACAACAUACCAUGCCUCAGUUAAAACCAGUCUUAACUUCUUCAGACAUCGGCCUGCUUGCAGUAACACAAGUGUCUCGGUCACAGCUGUUUACAUCCUCGUCUCUCACGCAGUGCUGACCUGUUGAGAGGUUCGGGGCACAUGUGGAAAUCUGUCUGCCACAGCUAUCUUUAAUAUUUCACACCUCCGUGUGGAGAAUAGGGGGAG